Agrilus planipennis (emerald ash borer) is the source of this 1072-nucleotide long non-coding RNA. RefSeq lists it as uncharacterized. The record is from RefSeq and is a predicted model, not a curated record. NCBI's taxonomy places the organism in Eukaryota, Metazoa, Arthropoda, Insecta, Coleoptera, Buprestidae. The transcript is spliced from 2 exons.
CGCCCUUUUUUCCAUCCUUCUGUGUACAAUUCUAGUUAAGAUUUUUGACGCAUGGGAAGUUAAGCUAAUUGUUCUAUAUUUGUAUCUUUUUUAUCGUGUUUUUAGUAUAUAUAUUUUUGUAUAUAACUGUAUAUCAUGUAAUGUAACGUGUUAUUUCUGUGUAACUUCAAAUUGUGUUACAAACAGCUUUGGGCCACUUUAUUACACCCUUCAGGUAGGUAUCAAACAUUGGGGAAGUCCAAGUCCCCAACUACGUCACGCCGAACUUUCUCUGGGUACCUCAAGGGUGCAUAGCAACUUAGCAACAACAGAAGCAUUGAGCAAGGUGUCUGUUUUACUUAGGGGCGUGUUCUACUUUAGUGUAGACAAUUUAAGUCUUGGACCAAAGGGAGAGAAUAUUCACGAUCAUAACCAAAUUCAUAUUCAACUAUACAAUUCAACAAUUUAUAUUCAUAAUCAAUUCACAUUCAAAUUCAGCGUAUUAAUUCAAAUUCAAGUACAAAAUUCAAUUAUCCAAAUCAAUUCAAUCAAUUAGUGUAAAUAAAGUGUAAAAAGAAAAGCAGUCUUUAAUUCGAAGUAUAUAACCAAAAGAGCCUUCGGCGGGAUACCGCCAUAUACAUCAUCAACAAUCUAAUCAACAACACAUCAAACAAUACAUUCGCACCGAAUGCCACUCCAUUUUAGGAUAAUAGCAAAUAAGUAUGGAUUCAUAUUAGUUUUUGACAAUUUCAGUGUGUCAUGCAGCGACGGUUGCGAUCUGCAACAAGAAUUCGGUGGAUGUUAAGGACUCUACGAUGUAUAUUUCCAUGUUUCCGUGCAAUGAAUGAGCCAAAUUGAUAGUUGAAAAUGGAAUAAAGGAAGUUGUGUACCUAUCAGAUAAAUAUAAAGACGAAAUACCAACAGUUGCAUCAAAACUGAUAUUUGAUGCAGCAAAAGUAAUAUUUAGGCGGAUUAAACUGAAAAACCCGAAAAUUGUGAUAAGCUUUUCCGAUAUCAAUGCUGUCAGUAUGGAUAUAGAUUAUAGAGAAAAUAUAUAACAAUACAUAGUUGUAUUAAACUUUUAGACAAUUUA